RNAcentral lists this unclassified non-coding RNA (315 nucleotides) under uncultured Fusarium. RNAcentral's name for it is "partial contains 5.8S ribosomal RNA, internal transcribed spacer 2, and large subunit ribosomal RNA". The stretch from base 1 to 102 matches the Rfam family "5.8S ribosomal RNA", at positions 53 to 154 of the family's 154-position model. Lineage: Eukaryota; Fungi; Ascomycota; Sordariomycetes; Hypocreales; Nectriaceae. The record is from RNAcentral.
AUGCGAUAAGUAAUGUGAAUUGCAGAAUUCAGUGAAUCAUCGAAUCUUUGAACGCACAUUGCGCCCGCCAGUAUUCUGGCGGGCAUGCCUGUUCGAGCGUCAUUACAACCCUCAGGCCCCCGGGCCUGGCGUUGGGGAUCGGCGGAAGCCCCCUGCGGGCACAACGCCGUCCCCCAAAUACAGUGGCGGUCCCGCCGCAGCUUCCAUUGCGUAGUAGCUAACACCUCGCAACUGGAGAGCGGCGCGGCCACGCCGUAAAACACCCAACUUCUGAAUGUUGACCUCGAAUCAGGUAGGAAUACCCGCUGAACUUAA